GCCAAAUUCACCGGUGCUGGGUUUUAAGAUUGUAUUACUGGUGAAGAUUGUGGUGAGAGAGAAAUUUUAAGGAAUAAUUUAUUGAAAAAGCCACAAGGAGAAGAGCCACGAGUGACACGUGGAGGAGUCCCAGAGGCUUAGUGGUAUAGAUCCACUGUCUCUUUUGGGUAUUUAAUUUAUGAUUUAUAAUGUGUUAUAUUGCCAAUAUUAGGGCUUUUUGUUUAUUGUCAAUUAUAUGAAUAUAUAAAUGUAAUCAUGCCUUUCAAACUAUUUCUAUUUUUAGUACAAUUUGGAUGACUGUAAUUUUAA
Molecule: long non-coding RNA, 309 nt
Organism: Prosopis cineraria
Lineage: Eukaryota; Viridiplantae; Streptophyta; Magnoliopsida; Fabales; Fabaceae
Exons: 3
Source: RefSeq, a predicted model, not a curated record